GACGAACGUUGGCGGCGUGCUUAAUACAUGCAAGUCAACUGAAGCAGUGGUAGCAAUAUCGCUGUGGAGGUAGCGCACGGGUGAGUAACACGUAGGUAAUCUGCCUUCAGGUCUGGCAUAACUCCGGGAAACCGGGGCUAAUAGCAGAUGAUGCAGCGGCUCGACAUCGAGACAGUUGUUAAAGCUAUGGCGCCUGAAGAUGAGCCUGCGUCUGAUUAGCUAGUUGGCGGGGUAACGGCCCACCAAGGCAACGAUCAGUAGCUGGUCUGAGAGGAUGAUCAGCCACACUGGAACUGAGACACGGUCCAGACUCCUACGGGAGGCAGCAGUAAGGAAUAUUGCUCAAUGGGAGAAAUCCUGAAGCAGCAACGCCGCGUGAGGGACGAAGGGCUUUUGCUUGUAAACCUCUGUAGUGAGAGAAAAAAAUCCCAAUCUUUGGGACAUGAUGGUAUCUCAAAAGUAAGCCCCGGCUAACUACGUG
This 481-nucleotide ribosomal RNA is filed under the name uncultured bacterium. Its description in RNAcentral is "partial 16S ribosomal RNA". It matches the Rfam family "Bacterial small subunit ribosomal RNA", at positions 28 to 507 of the family's 1533-position model. The record is from RNAcentral.